RNAcentral lists this ribosomal RNA (441 nucleotides) under uncultured bacterium. RNAcentral describes it as "partial 16S ribosomal RNA". It matches the Rfam family "Bacterial small subunit ribosomal RNA", at positions 339 to 795 of the family's 1533-position model. The record is from RNAcentral.
CUACGGGAUGCUGCAGUGAGGAAUCUUGGACAAUGGGCGAAAGCCUGAUCCAGCGACGCCGCGUGGGUGACGAAGGCCUUCGGGUUGUAAAGCCCUGUCAGCGGGGAAGAAGUUCUGACGGUACCCUCAGAGGAAGCACAGGCUAACUCCGUGCCAGCAGCCGCGGUAAUACGGAGUGUGCAAGCGUUGCUCGGAAUCACUGGGCGUAAAGGGCGCGUAGGCGGCUUGGUAAGUUGGAUGUGAAAGCCCUCGGCUCAACCGAGGAACUGCAUCCAAAACUGCCUGGCUAGAGUACGGAAGAGGAAGGCGGAAUUCCCAGUGUAGGGGUGAAAUCCGUAGAUAUUGGGAAGAACACCAGUGGCGAAGGCGGCCUUCUGGGACGAUACUGACGCUGAGGCGCGAAAGCGUGGGGAGCAAACAGGAUUAGAUACCCUUGUAGUC